UGCUGGGCCUGUGUGGAAUAGAAAGACGGUUAUCUCUGUGGGAAGGAAGGAAAAGGGACGACUCCUCGAGGUUUCCAAGGAGGACUGGAGCGGCUGCUUGAGUGAAGAAAUGAAGAGUCAAAGAAGCAAUGGACCUGCUUCAAAGUCACACCACUAAAUUUCAGGAGCCUACUGAAAGGAGAUGACAAGGGAUGACCCACCUUAGACCCAAGUUAUCAAGGAAACCUACACCAGGUUGAUGCCAAGC
This is a long non-coding RNA of Lepus europaeus (European hare), 247 nucleotides long. RefSeq lists it as uncharacterized. The record is from RefSeq and is a predicted model, not a curated record. The transcript has 3 exons. NCBI's taxonomy places the organism in Eukaryota, Metazoa, Chordata, Mammalia, Lagomorpha, Leporidae.